UUAAAAAAAGGUUGAAAACGA
This 21-nucleotide non-coding RNA is filed under the name Caenorhabditis elegans. The record is from RNAcentral. Lineage: Eukaryota; Metazoa; Nematoda; Chromadorea; Rhabditida; Rhabditidae.